Trichonephila inaurata madagascariensis is the source of this 78-nucleotide non-coding RNA. The record is from the annotation of a GenBank genome assembly. Lineage: Eukaryota; Metazoa; Arthropoda; Arachnida; Araneae; Nephilidae.
GGGGGUAUAGCUCAAUGGAAGAGCAUUCGACUGCAGAUCGAGAGGUCCUCGGUUCCAACCCGGGACACCUUUUCUUCA